GCGUUGUCCGGAAUUAUUGGGCGUAAAGGGCGCGCAGGCGGUCUAUCAAGUCUGAGGUGAAAUAACCCGGCUUAACCGGGGAAGGUCGUCGGAAACUGGUAGACUAGAGUGCAGGAGAGGAAAGUGGAAUUCCCGGUGUAGUGGUGAAAUGCGUAGAUAUCGGGAGGAACACCAGAGGCGAAGGCGGCUUUCUGGCCUGCAACUGACGCUGAGGCGCGAAGGCUGG
Molecule: ribosomal RNA, 226 nt
Filed under: uncultured bacterium
Lineage: Bacteria
Description: partial 16S ribosomal RNA
Rfam family: Bacterial small subunit ribosomal RNA
Source: RNAcentral